CGCGAUUCCCACCUCAAUCGGACGCGAUUUCUUUCCAUUUCCUUCUCCACUUGCUCCCCUUCUCCUCUUGCAUCCUCGCCACCCUCGAUUUCGGCGACAAUAGGAGAAAACCGAGGUGGGCGACAGUAGGAGAAGAGCAAAGAAGGCGAAGGCGAGGCGGCGGAGGACUGCGAAGGGGAUGUGGGUGAGGGCGAGGCAGUGGAGGACGGCGAGGCGGUGAGGCGGCGAGGCGGCGACGAGGUGGCGAGCCGGAGGGAGGCGAAGCAACAGGGAGAUGGCGGAGGGGUAUUUUCGGCAUAAAAAUACAUUUUUUAACGUAACCCUAACGGUAGGGGGUGAAAUGCAUAUUUUUUAUUUUAUAGGGGGGCAAAGUGUAGGUUUUUAAAUGUCAGGGAGGGAAAGUAAAAAAGCGGGUUAUUACAAGGGGGUUUUCUGUAAUUUAGCCUAAAUUUUAUUCUAUUUUAAAACAAUAAACAUUGGAUUUUUACCACAUAUAAAAGUUUCUUCUGAGAAGGGAUACAGUAAUAUUGCUAUUAAAGAAAAAAUAGUUACAGCAAUUAUCCUUCAGUCCCUGUUUGGUUUCAAGAUAA
This 590-nucleotide long non-coding RNA is filed under the name Ananas comosus (pineapple). RNAcentral describes it as "long non-coding RNA (ACOM_LNC041308)". The record is from RNAcentral. Lineage: Eukaryota; Viridiplantae; Streptophyta; Magnoliopsida; Poales; Bromeliaceae.